UACGUAGGCAGCAGGCGUUGUUCGGAAUUACUGGGCGUAAAGAGUGUGUAGGCGGUGUUCUAAGUUUGUCGUGAAAUCUCCCGGCUUAACUGGGAGGGUGCGGCGAAAACUGGAAUGCUAGAGGAUGGGAGAGGUAAGCGGAAUUCCUGGUGUAGCGGUGAAAUGCGUAGAUAUCAGGAGGAACACCUGUGGUGUAGACAGCUUACUGGACCAUUUCUGACGCUGAGACACGAAAGCGUGGGUAGCAAACAGG
RNAcentral lists this ribosomal RNA (253 nucleotides) under uncultured bacterium. RNAcentral's name for it is "partial 16S ribosomal RNA". It matches the Rfam family "Bacterial small subunit ribosomal RNA", at positions 524 to 776 of the family's 1533-position model. The record is from RNAcentral.